GAUGAACGCUGGCGGCGUGCCUAAUACAUGCAAGUCGAGCGAACAGACGAGGAGCUUGCUCCUUCGACGUUAGCGGCGGACGGGUGAGUAACACGUAGGUAACCUACCUAUAAGACUGGGAUAACUUCGGGAAACCGGAGCUAAUACCGGAUAAUAUUUCGAACCGCAUGGUUCGAUAGUGAAAGAUGGCUUUGCUAUCACUUAUAGAUGGACCUGCGCCGUAUUAGCUAGUUGGUAAGGUAACGGCUUACCAAGGCAACGAUACGUAGCCGACCUGAGAGGGUGAUCGGCCACACUGGAACUGAGACACGGUCCAGACUCCUACGGGAGGCAGAAGUAGGGAAUCUUCCGCAAUGGGCGAAAGCCUGACGGAGCAACGCCGCGUGAGUGAUGAAGGUCUUCGGACCGUAAAACUCUGUUAUUAGGGAAGAACAAACGUGUAAGUAACUGUGCACGUCUUGACGGUACCUAAUCAGAAAGCCACGGCUAACUACGUG
This 497-nucleotide ribosomal RNA is filed under the name uncultured bacterium. Its description in RNAcentral is "partial 16S ribosomal RNA". It matches the Rfam family "Bacterial small subunit ribosomal RNA", at positions 28 to 507 of the family's 1533-position model. The record is from RNAcentral.